Molecule: non-coding RNA, 73 nt
Organism: Lagenorhynchus albirostris (white-beaked dolphin)
Lineage: Eukaryota; Metazoa; Chordata; Mammalia; Artiodactyla; Delphinidae
Source: the annotation of a RefSeq genome assembly
UCCCUGGUGGUCCAGUAGUUAGGACUCUGCACUAUCAGUGCUGAGGACCCAGGUUCGAUCCCUGGUCGGGGAG